UUUUAAUUAAGAAAACUUUUUAAGGAACACAGGCCUCUCCCCGCUGUGUUCCCUGCAAGGGGGGUCCCCACACGGUGCACGAGGGGUGCACCUGGCCCUGGGAAGAAAACUGCUGCUUGUCAUGUGGAUGUUAGCCAUUUUCACCCAGGUCGUGAGAGGUAGAGGAUUUCCUUUUCCUUCUAUUCUUCAAUACCUUCAAAAUUUUAUGUAAUCAAUUUACACUCCUAGUGGGGAACUUGUGGUCAAAUUACUCGGCCUGCAUGGUUAGGUCUUCUCAUAGGGAGAAGGAAGCCCUAAACAGAGACUAGAACUGAGUGGGGAGCCCUCCCGGGCCAGUGGUUAGAAGGAUCUUGCCGGGUUGGGAAGCAGAAACCAAAGCACCCAGUGAGGUAUCUGAAUUGUAUCCCCAGGACCUGACCCUUGGCCCAUGCCCUUCCCUCCACUGGAGGGCUUUUCUCUCCGGUUCCUGCAUGUGGACAAUGAAAUGUCGGUUUCAACCUUGAAACCCCACUUGGUCACAUCAUACCUUCCAGGGAGCUUUCCCUGGUCAGCUGUGUUCUCCCUGUGGAGUCUCCUUGUUCUCCACUGUCGUGAACACAGUCUCUCACCCAGAUCGUUGCACGGCCUUAUAAAUACUGAGUAAAAUUGAAUCUCCUAUUGCUUAUCUGUGGCCUGACAGUUUCUGGUUAUGGAUUUAACACAUUAAUGAAGAAGUUCACUUGGUUGGUAAAGGCACAUCUUGAAUCCACUAGACUGUAAACCUUG
RNAcentral lists this long non-coding RNA (765 nucleotides) under Bos taurus (domestic cattle). RNAcentral describes it as "long non-coding RNA NONBTAT015653". Lineage: Eukaryota; Metazoa; Chordata; Mammalia; Artiodactyla; Bovidae. The record is from RNAcentral.